Molecule: ribosomal RNA, 808 nt
Filed under: Psychrobacter sp. PDD-5b-17
Lineage: Bacteria; Pseudomonadati; Pseudomonadota; Gammaproteobacteria; Moraxellales; Moraxellaceae
Description: bacterial SSU rRNA
Rfam family: Bacterial small subunit ribosomal RNA
Source: RNAcentral
GCUUGCUUCUUGCUGACGAGCGGCGGACGGGUGAGUAAUACUUAGGAAUCUGCCCAGUAGUGGGGGAUAGCUCGGGGAAACUCGAAUUAAUACCGCAUACACCCUACGGGGAAAAGGGGGCGCUUGCGCUCUCGCUAUUGGAUGAGCCUAAGUCGGAUUAGCUAGUUGGUGGGGUAAAGGCCUACCAAGGCGACGAUCUGUAGCUGGUCUGAGAGGAUGAUCAGCCACACCGGGACUGAGACACGGCCCGGACUCCUACGGGAGGCAGCAGUGGGGAAUAUUGGACAAUGGGGGCAACCCUGAUCCAGCCAUGCCGCGUGUGUGAAGAAGGCCUUUUGGUUGUAAAGCACUUUAAGCAGUGAAGAAGACCUAACGGUUAAUACCCGUUAGCGAUGACAUUAGCUGCAGAAUAAGCACCGGCUAACUCUGUGCCAGCAGCCGCGGUAAUACAGAGGGUGCAAGCGUUAAUCGGAAUUACUGGGCGUAAAGCGAGCGUAGGUGGCUUGAUAAGUCAGAUGUGAAAUCCCCGGGCUUAACCUGGGAACUGCAUCUGAUACUGUUAGGCUAGAGUAGGUGAGAGGGAGGUAGAAUUUCAGGUGUAGCGGUGAAAUGCGUAGAGAUCUGAAGGAAUACCGAUGGCGAAGGCAGCCUCCUGGCAUCAUACUGACACUGAGGUUCGAAAGCGUGGGUAGCAAACAGGAUUAGAUACCCUGGUAGUCCACGCCGUAAACGAUGUCUACUAGUCGUUGGGGAACUUGAUUCCUUAGUGACGCAGCUAACGCAAUAAGUAGACCGCCUGGGGAGUACG